AACGAACGCUGGCGGCAGGCCUAACACAUGCAAGUCGAGCGCGCCCUUCGGGGUGAGCGGCGGACGGGUGAGUAUCGCGUGGGAACGUGCCCUUUUCUACGGAAUAGUCCUGGGAAACUGGGGGUAAUACCGUAUACGCCCCCCAAUCAAAUUUCAUUUGAUUGGCGAGAUUGGAAUCGUCAAAUUCCAUGAAUGGAAUUUGAUGGGGGGGAAAGAUUUAUCGGAGAAGGAUCGGCCCGCGUUGGAUUAGGUAGUUGGUGGGGUAAUGGCUCACCAAGCCGACGAUCCAUAGCUGGUUUGAGAGGAUGAUCAGCCACACUGGGACUGAGACACGGCCCAG
This 340-nucleotide ribosomal RNA is filed under the name uncultured bacterium. RNAcentral's name for it is "bacterial SSU rRNA". It matches the Rfam family "Bacterial small subunit ribosomal RNA", at positions 29 to 334 of the family's 1533-position model. The record is from RNAcentral.